RNAcentral lists this ribosomal RNA (480 nucleotides) under uncultured bacterium. RNAcentral describes it as "partial 16S ribosomal RNA". It matches the Rfam family "Bacterial small subunit ribosomal RNA", at positions 29 to 507 of the family's 1533-position model. The record is from RNAcentral.
AUGAACGCUGGCGGCGUGCUUAACCCCUGCCAGUCGAACGAAGCACUUUAUUUGAUUUCCUUCGGGACUGAUUAUUUUGUGACUGAGUGGCGGACGGGUGAGUAACGCGUGGGUAACCUGCCUUGUACAGGGGGAUAACAGUUGGAAACGGCUGCUAAUACCGCAUAAGCGCACAGCAUCGCAUGAUGCAGUGUGAAAAACUCCGGUGGUAUAAGAUGGACCCGCGUUGGAUUAGCUAGUUGGUGAGGUAACGGCCCACCAAGGCGACGAUCCAUAGCCGACCUGAGAGGGUGACCGGCCACAUUGGGACUGAGACACGGCCCAAACUCCUACGGGAGGCAGCAGUGGGGAAUAUUGCACAAUGGGCGAAAGCCUGAUGCAGCGACGCCGCGUGAGCGAAGAAGUAUUUCGGUAUGUAAAGCUCUAUCAGCAGGGAAGAUAAUGACGGUACCUGACUAAGAAGCACCGGCUAAAUACGUG